RNAcentral lists this unclassified non-coding RNA (257 nucleotides) under Hevea brasiliensis (rubber tree). Lineage: Eukaryota; Viridiplantae; Streptophyta; Magnoliopsida; Malpighiales; Euphorbiaceae. The record is from RNAcentral.
AGCCUAGAUUGGUUUGGUUUAAUAACUAAAGCCAUGUGCCCCCCAAUUCCCCUACUAAAUAUUAUACCGCAAAUUGCUUCAAAGUUUAUACAUGCAAAAUUCCCUAUUGGCCUCAUAAUCUAAGCAUCAUCUUUUUCUUUUUCUUUUUUUUUUUUUAACACUUUGGAGGUUUAAAAGUACAAAGAUCAAACUCAAGACAUAUCAGAGAAAGAACCAAAGAUAUUUCAAUUUGGGGUAAAGAAAAUAAUAUGUAUAAA